This 74-nucleotide transfer RNA is filed under the name Neotrygon kuhlii (spotted stingray). Its description in RNAcentral is "tRNA-Lys". It matches the Rfam family "tRNA". Rfam says of the family: Transfer RNA (tRNA) molecules are approximately 80 nucleotides in length. The record is from RNAcentral. Lineage: Eukaryota; Metazoa; Chordata; Chondrichthyes; Myliobatiformes; Dasyatidae.
CAUUAAGAAGCUAAACUGGGUCUAGCAUUAGCCUUUUAAGCUAACAAUUGGUGACUCCCAACCACCCUUAAUGA